GUGGUGAGCUGUGAAUCAUCUGACAGCAAAAUCUUUCGAAACUACUGGUCUUGCUGGUGGUUUGUUGUUGGUCUCGCUGGCAACAUAUCGCUGAUCUCGUUGGCGACAUAAAUCUUCAGGAUAAAUCAAUUGCCAACAUAUAUACCUCCAUUGAUGGGAUCCUUUACAUAGUCAGAUUAUCAGUUCAUAUCAUUCUUAUAUCAAAAUUCUUCAUA
Molecule: long non-coding RNA, 215 nt
Filed under: Elaeis guineensis (African oil palm)
Lineage: Eukaryota; Viridiplantae; Streptophyta; Magnoliopsida; Arecales; Arecaceae
Description: long non-coding RNA (EGUI_LNC042309)
Source: RNAcentral